GGCGUUAGACAGAGCAAAAUAAUAACUGAGUAGGGUGCAUUAGGAUGCGUUGCCACUUGAUUAUCAGUCAUAAAGAUUAAAAUAUUAAAGUAGGGAGCAGGGUUAGUAUAGUUGAAAUUUACCCUUAUAAUUCUAAAUAAUAAAAUUCUUUCUACCAUGCAUUAUAUAGGAUACUGUGAACCAUGUAACGUGACAUACGAAGAUCUCAAUGAACACUUAAAUGGAUCACAACACAAAAUUUACGCACGCAAUCACGCUAACUUUAGAUCUCUUGACAAGCUUAUCGGGCGAGGUCCGAGUGUCGAGGAUUUACGACAGGCUACGAAAAGGAAGCGAGCGCCUGCGACGAACUAUAAGCUGUGAACAGUGAAGUGAGACAAUUUAUUAAAUGUCAGAAACUUGGUUUUACGUUUUACAUCAAUAUAUAAGCCGCACGAGAGGCAAGCACAUCCUAUACAUCCAACACUGACAUGAAUAAAAUAAAUUAUAUUCAAUUUUAAGAGGCUUUUAUAUUUUUUCCAUGUAGUGUAUUUGCGCAAGAGUGGGUAGUAGCGAAGUAGUUGUAGUUCGCUACUGUAGCGAACUACAAUUUUCAAGUAGCCAGUAGUUUUUGACUACAUUUUUAAAACAGUAGCUGUAGUUAUAGCGAA
Molecule: non-coding RNA, 650 nt
Organism: Paramuricea clavata
Lineage: Eukaryota; Metazoa; Cnidaria; Anthozoa; Malacalcyonacea; Plexauridae
Source: the annotation of a GenBank genome assembly